Musa acuminata AAA Group (dessert banana) is the source of this 5451-nucleotide long non-coding RNA. RefSeq lists it as uncharacterized. NCBI's taxonomy places the organism in Eukaryota, Viridiplantae, Streptophyta, Magnoliopsida, Zingiberales, Musaceae. The record is from RefSeq and is a predicted model, not a curated record. The transcript has 3 exons.
GGACGGUCAAGAUCGUUUUUACAGUGCACGCCAUCCUUCCAUUGCCCGCUGUCACGUAUAAGUACUCCGAUGAAGGCUUCCCCGCCUUUGGAGUGCCCUACCGACUCGAGACCAUGGUGGAGUCCCCGAGGCUGGAGCGGGAAAUCCGAAGCCGAAGCCUCGCGCCCGGUGACGUUCCACGAGAGCUGGUGGCAGCGGAGGCGGGGAAGACGUGGAUCCUAGAUUUCCUUUACCGUCCUCACGUACAGGACGGCGAAAUGGGCGGUUUUGCUCCGCAAACGCGAGACCUUUCUGCUCUUUCCUCUUGGGCUAUUUUCCGGCGGAAGUUCCUCCCCAUAUGGUUCUUCCGUUCCAGAAGCGGUCCAUCGACGGCGGUGGCGAACAGACGGGGCUCGGAAUGGGUGGUACGGUGUUCUUCUCGAGGUGUCGCCGAAAGAAGAGGAAGGGGAAAGAAAGGACAGAGGAGGGGGAGGAGAAUAGAAGAGAAAAGGUGGCCUCUCCUGAUUCGAAGAUGACGGAGGGGAUCAAUGGAGGGGCUGGCGUCCGCUCGUUGGAUGCGUUCGCAGGAGCUAGGAAGCCGAAAGAGAUAUCUUUUGACAUAGGAAUGGGAGUGGGUAUGGCUUUCAUCCUGUUCAGGUGGGCGACUGAAUUGAACAAAAUGAAGGAGCAAUGAAUUCAAAUGGAAAUGCUGUUCAAAUAAAUUAAAGAUGUAAUCCCAAAGAUAGGCGAUGAUUUUGGCAUCUUAAGAUCAAAUCAUGAUAUCACAUCAUCAUCAUCAGAUUGUCGUGGGAAUGCCAGUAAAUGCAACCAGAAUCAAGGGGCAAGUUUUCAUUGGAAGAGGCUAAGUCUACCAUUGAAUCUGAUGGGCAUUCGAAUUAUGUGAUUAGCACCGAGAAACGAAAUAUAGAUCAACUGGAAGCAAAGUUAGAGUUCGAAUUAGAGCAGCUGCAGCUUGAGUUGGACAGGGAGAAUUCAGUAAUGAUCUCAGAACGAGGGCAAAUAGAGGUAUUCUUCUUCUCAGUAAAUCUGUUCUCCUUAUUGGGAAUGUUGUUUUAAUAACUAGCAUUUGUUGAAAUGGAGAAAUUAUUUUGCAUAUACCAUGAAAUUUAGCUUAGAUCAUAAUAUGACCCACUAACUUUUUAAUGAACCUAAUGAACCUGCCUCACCUUUUUUUUUAAAUUUUGGAACAUUCUUUUAUGAUUCCUAUAUAAUAGUUUUGUUGAUACCAAGUAGACUAGGUACAGUAUAAAUUACUGAUUAUAAGGCUUCUUGGGCCCCAUAGUGAGUUCGAUAUGAUAAGUGAUCAUUUGGGAUGGUCCAGAUUGUGUUUUGGGUUAUAUAUCUCUUCGCAAGCCAUUUGACUCAAAGGGAAUCUUCUUGGAGGCUAUCGCGCAAAUGAAUUGAAGUAAAUAUGCUUAGUUUAGGGUAUAAAGAUUUUGAAUGCCAUGUUCCUCUCCUUGUAAUGGAUUGUAUAUGUCUUGCCAAGAAACUUUGUGGAGGCCUUUAAUGUCAUCUCCUUGUCAUAAGAAAUGAGCCAUUAUUUGUUCUAGUCGAUGAAUUACCCUCCGUGCCAAGCAACUCCUAGUGUAUGCUUGUGGAGCUUCAAGAAUAUAUUGCAAAUAAAGGUACAUGUUGGAUCUAUGAUUUCUCAUAUAAUUAGAAAUGAGGACACCUUUCUUUGGCUUGAUCCGUGACACGCAAGAGGUAUUCUAAAACUUGUUGUUGGGGACUAUAUUGAUUAUGAAAUUUCCACUAACCCUUUAGCUAGAGUUUUUGAAAUUUGCAAGGAUGGAGUGUGGGUUGUUGGCCACCCCCAUUCACCAGCUUUAAUCCUCGUUUGGGAUGCUAUUCUUGACAUUAUCACUUUCCCUCAUUCUCGGAAUGAUUGUGUGGUGUGAAACCCUUCAACUUUUGGAGUUUUUACACUUAAAUCAGCUUACACAGCAAUGGAUGAGCCUUCAAAUAUGGUUGCAUGAAGUAAUCUUGUCAGGUUUAAGGGCAACAUACCAAGGUAUUCUUUCAUCUCUUGGCUUGUUUGUUUAAACAUGUUGAGCACUUUGGAUAGAUUGAUAAAGUGGAGAAUCUGCACCAAUUCCUCUUGCUACUUAUGCAGUCAAGAAGAUGAAAGCAUGCAUCGCCUAUUUUUUUGAUUGCACUUUCUCAUCACUGAGUGUGGGGAGCCAUUUUGAGCAGAUGCGACCUAUCCCACUCGCCACAGGGGUGGAACAUAGAAUUUAUACGGGUAUGCAAUCAUUGGAAAAACGAGAGUUUCAUAAGUCGAAUUGAGAAACUAUCUUUCACAGCUAUCAUAUAUCAUAUCUGGGUUUAGAGGAAUCACAUAUUUGAGUCAAACACCUAAAGAUCUCUAGAUAUUAUUAUUUCAGUCUUUGUGCAAGAUGUGAGUAGGAGAAUGCAAAACGAAUCCACGAUUGUAGUAGACAUCGCAUCAACUCAAGCCAUUGUCGCAAAUUGGAAUCCAUGCCCAAACUUCGCAACACUUAAGUCUACGUGGCACCACUAGACCCCUCCCAUUGAGGGUAUUAUUGUCAUAUAUACUGAUGCCUCUGUCUCUACUUCCAUAGUUGGGUUGGGAUGUGUUUUUUGAGACUAUUUUGGAAGCCCCAUUUGUGCUAUGACGAAAAGCAGAUCAAAGGAAGAUCUCAUUCUACUACAUGAAUUAUAAGCUAUCCUCCUUGUCCUUUUGAAGCUAAAAGAAGAAAAUUUCGCUUGAUCCAUCUUUGGUCUGAUUCACAAGUCGUUGUGGAUAUUCUCAACAGUUGUAAUAAUGUGUCAGGGUGUUACCAAAUUACUUUAAGAAUAUAUUCAUGCUAUUUAAGAGAGCUUCGAGAUUCUGGAAUUCUUUUUCAUCCUUUAAGAAGCUAAGAAGUCAGCUGACUUCCUCACCCAUCUGUGUAAGUCCAAAGAGAAGAUCUUGCUACCCCCCUCAGGGUUUCUGGACGAAUUGUGGCGGUUGAUUGAAGUUGAUGUGUAUAAGAGGGAAUAUGUUAGACUAGUGUGAUUCUCAUGGGUUCUUUGUAUGACUUAGUUACAUCUCUAUAUAUCUAGUAGUUAUAUAUGAUGAUGUGUACAUGUAAUAUGUGAUGUGGACAGAAUAUCAUAAACCGUGUGACGUAUGUGUACAUGUGAUAUGAUUAUUAUUAUUAUUGGGGCCUACGAGCUUUCAAUUUUAUUCUCGUUUAUUGUUGAGCUUAUGUGCUUAUGAUUAAGUUAUAAUCACAUGAGGAGGCUCUACGGGAGCGUAGAGGCAAUAGCGAGAACCACGAGGUCGAGAUGGACCAUCGCGAUGCAUGAAGAUGCGUAGAGAUGCCGAUUGAACCGAUGAGAACGAGAUGAAUGAUCAUAGGGCAUGGAGAUGCGCCACUGCAUACAUAAAUCUUGAUGUGAGUGAUUAAGCCCAUUGGCUCAGGCUCGAUCACCUUAGGAUGUGGUCCAUGAUCAUCUGAUAUGAUUUGUCAUGUGAUGUGUGAUUGCUAACAUACCUACUAAAUAUGUAUAUAUAUAUUUUCAUACGAUGUAGAUAUAUAUUAAAUAUGUAUGUGUAUGAUAUGUCAUAGGAGAUCAAAUUAAAAUCCCCUCUUUCGAUAAAAUUAAGUCGGUAAAUGUAAGAUAAUUAGAUUGACCCAUGUUGUCUUCCAUCGUUAUAGGUAGGAAUCGAUUCCCGACAUAGGUUGAGUCCCUCGAGAUUCACCUAUAUCGCGAUUCACUAUCUUACCUAUGACCUAUGACAUAUAGAUGUCACCGGUGACCUGAGGAUGUGAUAUGCUUGGUCGAGUCCCUCGAGGGCAUAUCAUUGAAUCAGACUCAUCUUGUAAUAAUGAUGAUGGCUUAACCGAACAUCAUGGCUUGUCGAGUCUCUCGAGACCAUGGAAGUUCGGAGGCUAAAUAGGAUGGGAAUAACAAAGGGUUGUGAUUGACAAGAGUUACCUAUCUUUACGGGCUUAGCGUGAUUGGUCGAGUCCCUCGAGGUUAUGUUAAGACGCCGAUUGAAUCCCGAUCCCCAUUAGAGAUUUGUCGGGGGUCUCCGAUUCACAUAUCGGAGGAAGUUGUUUCAAUUUAUCAGAAAAUAUUACAGAUAUACUUAAAUUGUGCAGGACACAAACUAACAGAUCGGAUUUCAAAUACAAGCCGAACAUUACACUGGAUACUUCUUUUAGGUUCAGCAAAGAGAGAGGAAUCGGCAGCGAGGGCAUCAUUGGCUGUAUUGUCCUUGCAAGUCUUAAGUAGCUUGGAGAGAGAUUCAUUUAAAAGGAAUUUAUCUUAAAUAAAAAUAUGAUAUUAAUUUAAAAAUAUACUAUUAACAGUAUAUCAGUUACUAUUAAUAGUAGUUAUAGGGAAAGAGAAGAACUGUUAAUAAUAACAGAGGGGAUAAAACCAACAGAAAGUGACGAGAAUAGCUACGAGAACGUUACUGUAAAUGCAACCCAAGUUCUUUUACCAGUGCAGAUACUCCAUAUGUUAUUGAUUAUUCUUUGAUAAUGCUAAACACUGAUGCACACAAUUGCAUGGUGAAAGACACGGUUUGUUACUGAUGAUUUUCUUUGGUAAUCUUUAACUGCCGCUGUACUAAAAUGUCAAACCUAAUUUUCUUUGUAGAUGUCAAAAGUCAAAUUUAUACGAAUAAUUGAGGAAUGGAUGAUGGGAAGGAUUUACCUGAAGAUUAUUUGAGUUAUUUAUAUGAUCAAAUUGUGAAAAGUGAAAUAAAAAAUUAGUGUUGAUUCAUCAGCUCCACAGAGUAAGCAAACGAGCAGCAUCAAUAAGCUUUUGGGAUUAGAUAGGAUUUCCAACUUGGUCAAUUGGAAGCAAGCAGAAGAAAGAGCAUUAGGUGCAAAUGAUUUGCUCAUUAGGCACAACCAAGAACAGUUUAAAGCAAAAAGUGGAAAAUCAGAGUCUAUGUUCUAUGCUGCAACGGAUACGGCAAUCCUGAGAUUUAUGAUUGAGGUUUGCUGGGCCCCCAUGAUGGCUGCUUUCUGUGUGAUGCUUGACCAAAGUGAUGACAAGUCUGCCACAGCACAGUGUUUGCAGGGCUUCCGAUAUGCAGUGCAUGUCACCUUAGUGAUGCAUAUGCAGACACAGAGAGAUGCUUUUGUCACAUCCGUAGCAAAAGUCACAUACCUUCAUUGUGCUGCGGACAUGAAUGUUGAUGCUGUUAAGGUGAACCACUUGAGUUAAUGAUAUUUUCCUCCUCCAGCUACAAACUGUAUUAGUUUUAUUGAGAAAAUUUAUCUUUGGUAUUUCCUGAUAAUUGGGUGGUGGGUAACGUAUCCUAUCAUGUAUAGGACUUUCCCUAGAUUUUCUUAAUUAUUUCAAUUGAAGAUCUGUAUAACAUUAUAUAUCUAUUAAUUACUAAAUUUUGAUAUUGUAACAAAUAGAACAUUGUCAUCUAACCUUGUGAUACAGUCUCAUCAAAUACAAUGCAAACUUACUGAACAA